GAUGAACGCUGGCGGCGUGCCUAAUACAUGCAAGUCGAGCGAACAGACGAGGAGCUUGCUCCUCUGACGUUAGCGGCGGACGGGUGAGUAACACGUGGAUAACCUACCUAUAAGACUGGGAUAACUUCGGGAAACCGGAGCUAAUACCGGAUAAUAUAUUGAACCGCAUGGUUCAAUAGUGAAAGACGGUUUUGCUGUCACUUAUAGAUGGAUCCGCGCCGCAUUAGCUAGUUGGUAAGGUAACGGCUUACCAAGGCAACGAUGCGUAGCCGACCUGAGAGGGUGAUAGGCCACACGGGAACUGAGACACGGUCCAGAGUCCUACGGGAGGCAGCAGUAGGGAAUCUUCCGCAAUGGGCGAAAGCCUGACGGAGCAACGCCGCGUGAGUGAUGAAGGUCUUCGGAUCGUAAAGCUCUGUUAUUAGGGAAGAACAAAUGUGUAAGUAACUGUGCACGUCUUGACGGUACCUAAUCAGAAAGCCACGGCUAACUACGUG
RNAcentral lists this ribosomal RNA (497 nucleotides) under uncultured bacterium. RNAcentral's name for it is "partial 16S ribosomal RNA". It matches the Rfam family "Bacterial small subunit ribosomal RNA", at positions 28 to 507 of the family's 1533-position model. The record is from RNAcentral.